Antechinus flavipes (yellow-footed antechinus) is the source of this 377-nucleotide long non-coding RNA. RefSeq lists it as uncharacterized. The transcript has 3 exons. Lineage: Eukaryota; Metazoa; Chordata; Mammalia; Dasyuromorphia; Dasyuridae. The record is from RefSeq and is a predicted model, not a curated record.
AGAAAGAAGGAAGGAGGAAGAAAAGAAGGGAGGAAGAGAGGAAGGAAGAAAGGGAUUUGAAGAGAAUUCUUGGUUCUGGGCCCGGCUCCACCCACGGUUCCCCUUGGUCUUCCAGUCUCGUUGGGUUCCUGCCAAAGCCCAUAUGUACAAGGCCCACAAGUCCUUCUACAGUUUCAUUAUUUUAUAACGUUCUCCGGGGGUUUUCGGGGUCCAUUGCUGCUAUCCACCCCAAGCAUGUUCUCCCGGCAGCCUGACGACAUUGGAGACAACUUCAAGGAAGAAAAUUUCAGGAAAGAAAAAAAAAAAUUGGAUCACAAAUCUUACAAAUUGUAUUGAAUGUUGAAAACUACCUUUCUGUGUGUUUGGAAAAAUAAAGA